GGCUCUUCCGUAGAGUUUGCAGCCAGGGGCCGGCCCCGCUUGCAUUUCGCUUACCCGCCUCCAUAAACUGCUUUGGCUCCUGGUCUCGCAUCUCCCUGUGGCUCCCCGCAGAUUCCGCCCGGCCUUCCCUUCCUCCCGCAGCCACGCCCCGGCUUGGCUUCCAGCAGCCGUGGCAGCGCUGGCGUUUAGCCGUUGCCCAGAGACGACGCCCGAGAGGCGGUUUAGCUGACCACCUGGCGGGCAGCCGGCGCUCCUCUCCAGGAAGCAGGCGGUUCUCGAGCUCUCGCCGAGCGGACCGGUGAGGUGGCCGGGUCUCCAGGAGCAGCGUGUCCCGGUUCCGCGCCAGCCCCGGCUGGCAAGAGGCAGCCGGUGUCCCCGGAGGAGAAGCCCAACCCGCUGCAGGACGCGAACCUCUGCUCGCGCGCGUUUGUCUGGUGGUCCUGCCCAGGAGUCCUCUGGUCCUGAAACUGACAGGUCCCUAAGCUGGGAAGAAGCUUACAGGUGGAAAAUGGCUUGGAAAGGAGUCUUUCAAGGGAAGUUCUUCAAGUUCUUGCUGUUGGAGAUGAUGCAUGUGAAACAGUUGGUGAUGGACAGGGAGGCCUGGCAUGCUGCAGUUCAUGGGGUUGCAAAGAGUCGGACACGACUGAGCAACUGAACUGAACUUGGGUAUUUGCUUUCUUCCCAAAUUUCAUCUGCUUUCGAAACUUGUAAAUGAUGCCAGUAACUAACUUACUGACUUUUAUAAAAAUGACCUUGAAAUGGAAAGUGGGGUCUGGCUGCUCACCUCUCAAAAGCCAAUAAAGAAGCAAAGUUUGUGGAAAGGAAAGUUUGCUUUAUUUUGGAUGCUGUCACAGGGGUAUGGGGGAGGGCAGAUGCCAGUCCAAAGUCUCACUCCCUACCCCUGCCCCCUGACAAUCAGUGGGCAAGAACUUUUAUAGACCAAUGGCAGGGGCCCCAUGGAGAAACAGUACAGUCAGCUCUAAUAGUCAUCUUGAAAUUGGUCACUGGCAGUCUGACUAGUAUCAUCUUGAUUGUUUUAGGUACAGUUAAUCUUUGGGUCCAGGGCUGAUUUCUUCCCAUUUCCUUGAGGCAGUUCUCAAAAUUGUGGCAGCUUAUAUUAUAGCUAGAGCUUCCCUGGUGGCUCAGAGGUUAAAGCGUCUGUCUGCAAUGUGGGAGACCUGGGUUCAAUCCCUGGGUCAGGAAGAUCCCCUGGAGAAGGAAAUGGCAACCCAGUACAGUAUUCUUGCCUGGAGAAUCCCAUGCACGGAGGAGCCUGGUAGGCUGCAGUCCAUGGGGUCGCAAAGAGUUGGACACGACUGAGCGACUUCACUUACUUAUAUCAUAGCUAUAGUCUGGUCAUAGUAUAGUUAACUUCUUCCACCUGGUGGGGGUUUCAGUAUCUAUAAGACAGCUCACAGGAUAUGGUUCCGAAUAGGAGGAACUGAAGGAGGAACUAAGGGUCCUUGAAUUUGCUUACCAACUAAACUACUGUUGUUUUGUCCUGAUUGACUGUUUUCCUUUGCUUCUGCAUUUUCUCACUUCUCUGAUUAAACUUAUCCUUUGGCUAAAGUUUUCCUAUAGACAAAAGGCCAUUGGAGGACCUGGGGGGAAGGCACAUAGGGUCCUACUCCAUUUCAACCUCAUUGGGGUUUCAGUAUUUUCACAGUUCAGUUUGGACUUAAGGUCUAAGAGGAAUCAUACAUUAUGGCUAGUGGUGAUUAUAAAUUUUAGAAAAGAAUAAAUAUUUUUCUAUUUCUGUAAGAAAUUUAAAACUACAGCAGAAGAAAGGAAUAAGGAUUUCUAUUAGCCAAAUAUACUUGCCAAUAUUUGGUUGUUUCUUAGUCUUUCCCCUAGAAAUCUUUAUGCACACCUGCACACAACCACAUUCUUUUCUAUAAAACCAGACAGUUUUGAAUCCUGAAUCUUUAAUUUUCUGUGGUUUACAUUUAUUUAUGGGCAUUAAAUAGUCUUUGAAACAUGGCACUGUAAUUUGUCCACCCUUUCAUUUUUGUUUAACACAGUUUAUUCUAAUUAUGAUGUGAUGUGUAUCCAUGGCCAUGCUUCUGGUUCACUGUUCCUUUAUCUGUAUUCCCAGAACUAGGAUAACUGGUGAAAGGCCAUAUUGUUUUCCAUAGGGUUUGGAAUUUGCCCCCUUAAUAACUGUUUGUGUGCUUAUUUCACUGUCAACUUUGAGUUCCUGAAUUACAUUUUUUUUCUCAGUCUAAAGAUAAAAAUAAUAUCAACCAGUUUGAAUUUAUUUGACGUAGAGAGAUGGAACUUUUUGUGUCUACUGACCAUCUAUUUUUGGCAUUGCCUUUCUUUGGGAUAGGAAUGAAAAUUGACCUUUUCCAGUCCUGUGGCCACUGCUGAGUUUUCCAAAUUUGCUGGCAUAUUGAGUGCAGCACUUUCACAGCAUCAUCUUUUAGGAUUUGAAAGAGCUCAAGUGGAAUUCCAUCACCUCCACUAGUUUUGCUCUUAGUGAUGCUUCCUAAAGCCCAUUUGACUUCACAUUCAAGGAUGUCUGGUUCUAGGUGAGUGAUCACACCAUCGUGAUUAUCUCAAUUGUUAAGAUCUUGUUUGUAUAGUUCUUCUUUGUAUCCUUGCCACCUCUUCUUAAUAUCUUCUGCUUCUGUUAGGUCUAUACCAUUUCUGUCCUUUAUUGAGCCCAUCUUUGCAUGAAAUGUUCCCUUGGUAUCUCUAAUUUUCUUGAAGAGAUCUCUAGUUUUCCCAUUCUAUUAAUUUCCUCUCUUUCUUUGCAUUGAUCGCUGAGGAAGGCUUUCUUGUCUCUCCUUGAUAUUCUUGGGAACUCUGCAUUCAACAAAGGUCCAUCUAGUCAAAGCUAUGGUUUUUCCAGUAGUCAUAUAGGGAUGUGAGAAUUGGACUGUAAAGAAAGCUGAGUGCCGAAGAAAUGAUGCUUUUGAACUGUGGUGUUGAAGACUCUCGAGAGUCCCUUGGACUGCAAGGAGAUCCAACCAGUCUAUCUUAAAGGAAAUCAGUCCUGAAUAUUCAUUGGAAGUUCAGUUCAGUUCAGUCGCUCAGUCAUGUCCGACUCUUUGUGACUCCAUGAAUCGCAGCAUGCCAGGCCUUCCUGUCCAUCACCAACU
This 3104-nucleotide long non-coding RNA is filed under the name Bos grunniens (domestic yak). RNAcentral describes it as "lncRNA (ENSBGRG00000020473.1)". The record is from RNAcentral. Lineage: Eukaryota; Metazoa; Chordata; Mammalia; Artiodactyla; Bovidae.